This 448-nucleotide ribosomal RNA is filed under the name uncultured bacterium. RNAcentral's name for it is "bacterial SSU rRNA". It matches the Rfam family "Bacterial small subunit ribosomal RNA", at positions 469 to 914 of the family's 1533-position model. The record is from RNAcentral.
UUGACGGUACCUAACCAGAAAGCCACGGCUAACUACGUGCCAGCAGCCGCGGUAAUACGUAGGUGGCAAGCGUUGUCCGGAAUUAUUGGGCGUAAAGCGCGCGCAGGUGGGGGGGUUGAGUCUGAUGUGAAAGCCCACGGCUCAACCGUGGAGGGUCAUUGGAAACUGGGGGACUUGAGUGCAGAAGAGGAAAGUGGAAUUCCAAGUGUAGCGGUGAAAUGCGUAGAGAUUUGGAGGAACACCAGUGGCGAAGGCGACUUUCUGGUCUGUAACUGACACUGAGGCGCGAAAGCGUGGGGAGCAAACAGGAUUAGAUACCCUGGUAGUCCACGCCGUAAACGAUGAGUGCUAAGUGUUAGAGGGUUUCCGCCCUUUAGUGCUGCAGCUAACGCAUUAAGCCCUUCGCCUGGGGAGUACGGUCGCAAGACUGAAACUCAAAGGAAUUUGA